Molecule: ribosomal RNA, 1486 nt
Filed under: uncultured bacterium
Lineage: Bacteria
Description: 16S ribosomal RNA
Rfam family: Bacterial small subunit ribosomal RNA
Source: RNAcentral
UGGCUCAGAUUGAACGCUGGCGGCAGGCUUAACACAUUCAAGUCGAACGGUAACAGGAAGCAGCUUGCUGCUUUGCUGACGAGUGGCGGACGGGUGAGUAAUGUCUGGGAAACUGCCUGAUGGAGGGGGAUAACUACUGGAAACGGUGGCUAAUACCGCAUAACGUCGCAAGACCAAAGAGGGGGACCUUCGGGCCUCUUGCCAUCAGAUGUGCCCAGAUGGGAUUAGCUUGUUGGUGAGGUAACGGCUCACCAAGGCGACGAUCCCUAGCUGGUCUGAGAGGAUGACCAGCCACACUGGAACUGAGACACGGUCCAGACUCCUACGGGAGGCAGCAGUGGGGAAUAUUGCACAAUGGGCGCAAGCCUGAUGCAGCCAUGCCGCGUGUAUGAAGAAGGCCUUCGGGUUGUAAAGUACUUUCAGCGGGGAGGAAGGUGUUGCGGUUAAUAACCGCAGCAAUUGACGUUACCCGCAGAAGAAGCACCGGCUAACUCCGUGCCAGCAGCCGCGGUAAUACGGAGGGUGCAAGCGUUAAUCGGAAUUACUGGGCGUAAAGCGCACGCAGGCGGUCUGUCAAGUCGGAUGUGAAAUCCCCGGGCUCAACCUGGGAACUGCAUUCGAAACUGGCAGGCUUGAGUCUUGUAGAGGGGGGUAGAAUUCCAGGUGUAGCGGUGAAAUGCGUAGAGAUCUGGAGGAAUACCGGUGGCGAAGGCGGCCCCCUGGACAAAGACUGACGCUCAGGUGCGAAAGCGUGGGGAGCAAACAGGAUUAGAUACCCUGGUAGUCCACGCCGUAAACGAUGUCUACUUGGAGGUUGUGCCCUUGAGGCGUGGCUUCCGGAGCUAACGCGUUAAGUAGACCGCCUGGGGAGUACGGCCGCAAGGUUAAAACUCAAAUGAAUUGACGGGGGCCCGCACAAGCGGUGGAGCAUGUGGUUUAAUUCGAUGCAACGCGAAGAACCUUACCUGGUCUUGACAUCCACAGAAGAAUCCAGAGAUGGAUUUGUGCCUUCGGGAACUGUGAGACAGGUGCUGCAUGGCUGUCGUCAGCUCGUGUUGUGAAAUGUUGGGUUAGGUCCCGCAACGAGCGCAACCCUUAUCCUUUGUUGCCAGCGAUUAGGUCGGGAACUCAAAGGAGACUGCCAGUGAUAAACUGGAGGAAGGUGGGGAUGACGUCAAGUCAUCAUGGCCCUUACGACCAGGGCUACACACGUGCUACAAUGGCGCAUACAAAGAGAAGCGACCUCGCGAGAGCAAGCGGACCUCAUAAAGUGCGUCGUAGUCCGGAUUGGAGUCUGCAACUCGACUCCAUGAAGUCGGAAUCGCUAGUAAUCGUGGAUCAGAAUGCCACGGUGAAUACGUUCCCGGGCCUUGUACACACCGCCCGUCACACCAUGGGAGUGGGUUGCAAAAGAAGUAGGUAGCUUAACCUUCGGGAGGGCGCUUACCACUUUGUGAUUCAUGACUGGGGUGAAGUCGUAACAAGG